AGGUGAAAGAUGGAGAUAAACCAACCGUCUGCGUCGUCUUUAAUUGGUUUUUGCCCUUGUAAAUAGUUAUAAUAGAGAAAUGUGUUUCUCGCACGGUCGAAACCGACAUCUGACGCUUCUAUUACUAAUUAAGUGUUCUGACAAAGCCAAAUCGUCAGCUAUGCUUGUGUUUACAGUCUGUGUCUUUAGGACAAAGUUUCUCUUGAACAUGCUGUUUUAAUGGCCUAACUCAUCUAAUUCCCAUAUACACUUGUACAGUCUGUUGUGAACAGCCCGUGCUUUCUAUACCUUAUCGUGUUGCUUAGCAUUGCACACAUGUUACCAGAUCUCAGUGUUGUCAAACGUUAACUUUGCAAAAAUCUUGGAAAAAAAAAAUCAGCCUGAUUUCAUUUAUGCCAAGAAGGGAUACUUGAUACUGAAACAUCUUUAUUACCAUGUUUCCAGAAAUUUCAGAUCUGACAUACGAAUGUACUACGAUGUCAAGUGACUUCUUACAACUUCACUAGCAAGAAAUAAACGCUUUCUAUUCACUUAAUUGUUAAGCAUUUAUUUAGCUCGUAUGUGUGUAGUCCAAAUACUCUCAACAGAAUCAGUUUUUAGGUUGACCUUUCAAAACUUUGCGUGAUUAUUUAUUUGAACAAUAUUGCAAAAGUCUUCAUAUAAGCAACAUAAAUUCUAAUAAGGCAAUAUACUAAAAUUUCCCACCAUAUUUUUUAUAAAAUAAUGUUUGUAAAUUAUAAGGGAAUUUGCUAAAACACUUUUUAUCACACAAGAGAACAUGAUAGAAACUGUAAAUGGUAUUAAAUAUUUGGUUUUCAGAUACUUUAAAGGGUCUGAGUAAAUAACACAUGUUCUUUUGUUACCUGAAGUAAACUGUGGUGUGCCAAAUUUGUAUUUCAAUUUAUUCUCCAGAGGUGCAGGCUCAAGUUUAAAUACCAGUGUUGUAGUGGUAGCAUUUUCAUAGUAGUGGUAGCGUUUUCAAGAAGGUAUUCUAUGUCAGUAGACAAACAUAACAGUCACCACCAAAUGAAAUGCUCUGUUAUGGCUUUGUUGCAGAAUGAAGCUAGAACAGGAGUCUGGACAGACGAGAUACCCAUCUUUCAAAUUAAAAUGCUGAGCAUUAAAGAGAACUACAGUUCUGUUUGAGGGAUCUCCUUGGCUUAUGACCCAACUCCAGGAAAAGGCAAGUGCAAAGCAUCCAAAGCCAUACCCCUCUCUAGCACAGCAGUGCUGGGGCGCU
Anser cygnoides (Swan goose) is the source of this 1240-nucleotide long non-coding RNA. The record is from Ensembl. NCBI's taxonomy places the organism in Eukaryota, Metazoa, Chordata, Aves, Anseriformes, Anatidae.